RNAcentral lists this ribosomal RNA (601 nucleotides) under uncultured bacterium. Its description in RNAcentral is "bacterial SSU rRNA". It matches the Rfam family "Bacterial small subunit ribosomal RNA", at positions 716 to 1322 of the family's 1533-position model. The record is from RNAcentral.
CGAAGGCAGCCUACAAGUCCUUUACUGACGCUAAAGCUCGAAGGUGCGGGUAUCGAACAGGAUUAGAUACCCUGGUAGUCCGCACGGUAAACGAUGGAUGCCCGCUGUUUGCGAUAUACUGUGAGCGGCCAAGCGAAAGCGUUAAGCAUCCCACCUGGGGAGUACGCCGGCAACGGUGAAACUCAAAGGAAUUGACGGGGGCCCGCACAAGCGGAGGAACAUGUGGUUUAAUUCGAUGAUACGCGAGGAACCUUACCCGGGCUUGAACUGCAGCAGAACGAUUGAGAGAUCAUGAGGUCCUUCGGGACUGCUGUGGAGGUGCUGCAUGGUUGUCGUCAGCUCGUGCCGUGAGGUGUCGGCUUAAGUGCCAUAACGAGCGCAACCCCUGUCCCCAGUUGCCAUCACUUCGGGUGGGCACUCUGUGGAUACUGCCACCGUAAGGUGCGAGGAAGGUGGGGAUGACGUCAAAUCAGCACGGCCCUUACGUCCGGGGCUACACACGUGUUACAAUGGCGCGUACAGAGGGUUGGCGUCCGGCAACGUCCGUCUAAUCCCCAAAACGCGUCUCAGUUCGGAUUGGGGUCUGCAACCCGACCCCAUG